CCGUAAACCACAAAUGCAAGUGUUACAUUUAUGCAUUUGGCAGACACUUUUGUUUAAAGUUCAAGGAGAAAGCAAUAUUAUGGAUAGAGGACUUAAAAACAUCUUUCAUCUACAACUUGGAUGGCCUUAGGGCCAUCCAAGAUGUAAAUGAGUUUGUUUCUUCAUCAGAACAGAUUUGGAGAAAUGUACAGUAGCAUUACAUCAUUACACCAAUGGAUCCUCUGCAGUGAAUGGGUGCCGUCAGAAUGAGAGUCCAAACAAAUGAUAAAAACAUCACAAUAAUCCACAUGACUCCAGUUCAUCAAUUAACAUCUUGUCAAGUGAAAAGCUGCACAUUUGUAAUAAAAAAAAAUUAGCUUCAAA
Cyprinus carpio carpio is the source of this 363-nucleotide long non-coding RNA. NCBI's taxonomy places the organism in Eukaryota, Metazoa, Chordata, Actinopteri, Cypriniformes, Cyprinidae. The record is from Ensembl.